AAAGUCGUAACAAGGUUUCCGUAGGUGAACCUGCGGAAGGAUCAUUAACAAGUCCGCUGCGUGUGCAAGAGCAAUCUUCGCAUGCGCACAUCCGUUCCAUGUGCAGCCCGCUGUGCAUGACAUUUCUGCGAAUCGUCUGAUUGUCGCCCAACUAAUACAAAACUUUUAACAAUGGAUCUCUAGGCUCUU
RNAcentral lists this unclassified non-coding RNA (189 nucleotides) under Rozellomycota sp. Its description in RNAcentral is "Cryptomycota sp. partial contains small subunit ribosomal RNA, internal transcribed spacer 1, and 5.8S ribosomal RNA". The stretch from base 1 to 47 matches the Rfam family "Eukaryotic small subunit ribosomal RNA", at positions 1785 to 1831 of the family's 1831-position model. Lineage: Eukaryota; Fungi; Rozellomycota. The record is from RNAcentral.